AUUACCCGCCAUCUGCUCGGCCGCAGACAUAAAUUAUCCGCGAGGAGAGGAGCCGCCGAGGCUGCGCGCUGCCCUCGCGCCCCCAACCCCCCAAGCCCGCGCCCGGAGCCCCUCCAGCCCGACGGCCCCAUGGGCGGCCUCCCCCAGAGCGAGUGGCUUUGCAGUGGCCGGGUCACCGGGCCGCCCCGAGGUCCCCGGGCUGCGAGGGUCCCCUGGGGCCCGGGGCGCGGCCUCGGGAGGGGGGCGGCCCCGCGGGGGUGCCCGGGUCACCGCGUCCCUCCGCGCGCCCGGCCGGGACCCGCCGCGGGGAGAGGUCUCUUGAGCUCCCGUUGGGGCCGUCCGGGGCCGUCGGAAGGAAGGGGCAGGGGGGUGGGCGGGGGGAGCGGAGAGAGAAGGGGGCCCCCUCCUUCUUUUCAUUCGGCCCUGAACCCCGCUCUUCCUCCCCAGCACAGCAAGUCCUGUCAUAUAACUGUCUCCCGCACUGUCUGUCCAUAAAGAAUGUCUCGGAAUUGGUGUAAUUCAGAGAAAUUAAUGACGACUUUCCGCGGGACGGCUCCCUGGGGGAUGAUUAACACUUCAUCGUCCAUCUGAUGCGCGGGGCCCGGCGCUCCACCGCGAACAUUUGGGCCGCGGCCAGCCGCAUUAAAGGUUAUUACGGAAAACGCGACCUGCAAACGGGCGAGAGGCAUGAUGGACCAGCAGGGGCGGGGGCUGGGCCGGGGGCAGGGGUCUGGGAGCCGGCCGAGGCGGAGAUCUGGUUGCCCGAGCUGUGCGCACCUGGGGGUCUGAGGCUGGAGGACCUGGGAGUAGGCUGGGAAGGUGUUGGGGAGACCUCAGCAGGGGGCUGGGGAAGGGAAUGGGGUGGCUUUCAACGGCCGACAGGAUGCUGAUGGAAGCUUUCCCUGUCUUUUAAUCCUCGCAGAAUGAUUGGGUCAACUUUAGGAACCCCACUUUACAGGUGACAAGACUGAGGUUCAGAGAGGUCGCAUAGAGUGCCCACAGUAACACAGCUUAUUAAGAGGCAGAGGCAGGAUAUGAACUCAGGUUCUUAACUCCUCUUUCCAGAAGGAGGGCAGAAAGCCUCACUCUCCCAUGUGUCUGCCUCAGCUUCAGGCCUGGGGGUGGGGGGUGAGAUGGGUUGUGUGGGGGAAGCAGACAGGUGCCCACAGAUGCUCACUGCAUGAAGGAAUAAAUUAUCUUUGCAGGUUUCA
This 1211-nucleotide long non-coding RNA is filed under the name Vulpes vulpes (red fox). Its description in RNAcentral is "lncRNA (ENSVVUG00000028170.1)". Lineage: Eukaryota; Metazoa; Chordata; Mammalia; Carnivora; Canidae. The record is from RNAcentral.